This 492-nucleotide ribosomal RNA is filed under the name uncultured bacterium. RNAcentral's name for it is "partial 16S ribosomal RNA". It matches the Rfam family "Bacterial small subunit ribosomal RNA", at positions 29 to 507 of the family's 1533-position model. The record is from RNAcentral.
AGUGAACGCUGGCGGUAGGCCUAACACAUGCAAGUCGACCGGCAGCACAGUAAGAGCUUGCUCUUACGGGUGGCGAGUGGCGGACGGGUGAGGAAUACAUCGGAAUCUACUUUUUCGUGGGGGAUAACGUAGGGAAACUUACGCUAAUACCGCAUACGACCUACGGGUGAAAGCAGGGGAUCUUCGGACCUUGCGCGAUUGCAUGAGCCGAUGUCGGAUUAGCUCGUUGGCGGGGUAAAGGCCCACCAAGGCGACGAUCCGUAGCUGGUCUGAGAGGAUGAGCAGCCACACUGGAACUGAGACACGGUCCAGACUCCUACGGGAGGCAGCAGUGGGGAAUAUUGGACAAUGGGCGCAAGCCUGAUCCAGCCAUACCGCGUGGGUGAAGAAGGCCUUCGGGUUGUAAAGCCCUUUUGUUGGGAAAGAAAAGCAGCAGGUUAAUACCCCGCUGUUCUGACGGUACCCAAAGAAUAAGCACCGGCUAACUUCGUG